UUUUUAAGUUUGCCUUGAGUCUUUACAUGUGUAUGUGGAUUCAGAUGCUAUACAUAAAGAUUCAAGAAAAUGAGUGGUUAGGUUUAUUCACUCUUGAGAAGUAGAUUCUGUAAGUUCAGGAUAACACACACCCAAGUUUUGAUGCCAAGGCAGCGCCGACUCCGGAAGAAGCUGAGAAGAGUGAAAACUAGUUCCUGUUCUAACAAGUGCCCUGCACUCUUCAAAACAAGAUCAAAGAAGGUGGAGGGACUAGUCCAGAUUCAAGAGACUAGAGAGGCAUGACAUCUGAAUGCAGUUCAUGAUCUAUGUUGGUUCCUGGAUGCUAUGAAGGACGUUACUGGGGAAACUGGAAGAAUUUGAAUGCAGCACAUAAAAUUAUCAUGCAUCUAGCAUCUCACCCAGACACUGAAAAAUGAUGAAUCCACAGAACCCUGACACUGGAAAGGAAGCGUAAGCAGCAGCCAGAACCUGAGAGGAAACAUCAUUAAGUGAAGAUCUCAUGGAGCUCAGCUGAAAAUCCCUGUCGGGAGCAGUCACAGCUUUGCCCCCUGGCAGGAAAGAUCCUGCUGGUGACUGAGAGAAGCCUCUGCCUACUCCCUGGUUCAAGAAUUCAAGACGGUUGCCAGCUAGAGCACAGGACAGCUGUGCUUGCAGCAAGCAGAAGUUCCCAG
Molecule: long non-coding RNA, 671 nt
Organism: Phacochoerus africanus (Common warthog)
Lineage: Eukaryota; Metazoa; Chordata; Mammalia; Artiodactyla; Suidae
Exons: 3
Source: RefSeq, a predicted model, not a curated record